AUCAGCAGCCAUAUCAUCCUGCAGUUCAGAAGUGGCAGCCCAUUGAAGCUCAGCAGGUGUGAGCCUGGUGAGUACCUGGAUGGGAGACUCCUGGGAAAAACUGAUUACUGCUGGAA
RNAcentral lists this ribosomal RNA (116 nucleotides) under Lepisosteus oculatus (spotted gar). Lineage: Eukaryota; Metazoa; Chordata; Actinopteri; Semionotiformes; Lepisosteidae. The record is from RNAcentral.